This 489-nucleotide ribosomal RNA is filed under the name uncultured bacterium. RNAcentral's name for it is "partial 16S ribosomal RNA". It matches the Rfam family "Bacterial small subunit ribosomal RNA", at positions 355 to 861 of the family's 1533-position model. The record is from RNAcentral.
UGGGGAAUAUUGCACAAUGGGCGAAAGCCUGAUGCAGCAACGCCGCGUGAGUGAUGAAGGUCUUCGGAUUGUAAAGCUCUGUCUUUUGGGACGAUAGUGACGGUACCAAAGGAGGAAGCCACGGCUAACUACGUGCCAGCAGCCGCGGUAAUACGUAGGUGGCGAGCGUUGUCCGGAUUUACUGGGCGUAAAGGGUGCGUAGGCGGAUGUUUAAGUGAGAUGUGAAAUACCCGGGCUUAACUUGGGUGCUGCAUUUCAAACUGGAUAUCUAGAGUGCAGGAGAGGAGAAUGGAAUUCCUAGUGUAGCGGUGAAAUGCGUAGAGAUUAGGAAGACACCAGUGGCGAAGGCGAUUCUCUGGACUGUAACUGACGCUGAGGCACGAAAGCGUGGGUAGCAAACAGGAUUAGAUACCCUGGUAGUCCACGCCGUAAACGAUGAGUACUAGGUGUAGGAGGUNUCGACCCCUUCUGUGCCGCAGUAAACACAUU